GAUGAACGCUGGCGGCGUGCUUAACACAUGCAAGUCGAACGGUGAAACUCUUCGGUGGGGCUCCGUGGGGAACGGGUGAGCAACACGUGGGCAACCUGCCCCCGUCUCUGGGAUAACUCCAAGAAAUUGGGGCUAAUACCGGAUGUUCACCGCUUCCCGCAUGGGUGGUGGUGAAAAGGGUAUCCGGCUGGGGAUGGGCCCGCGGGCUAUCAGCUGGUUGGGGGGGUAGUGGCAUACCAAGGGGACGACGGGUAGCCGGCCUGAGAAGGUGACCAGCGACACUGGGACUAAGGGACGGCCCAGACUCCAACGGGAGGCAGCGGUGGGGAAUAUUACGCAGUGGGCGGGAGCCUGUCACGACGACGCCGCGUGGGGAAUGACGGCCUUCGAGGUAUGAACCACUUUCUGCAUAGACAAAGCGCAAGUGACGGUACCUGCAGAAGAAGCACCGGCCAACUACGUG
This 463-nucleotide ribosomal RNA is filed under the name uncultured bacterium. Its description in RNAcentral is "partial 16S ribosomal RNA". It matches the Rfam family "Bacterial small subunit ribosomal RNA", at positions 28 to 507 of the family's 1533-position model. The record is from RNAcentral.